UAAUUUAUUUGGAUUGGAUACUUAUAUAAUUAUACCAUAUCAUUACCUAGAUGCUAAAAAUUACCCGUGUAAAACACGCCCAAUUACAUAAAUAAUGUUGAUAAAUCAAUAACUUCUAUUAAAUAAUAUUUUUAUUUGAUC
Populus trichocarpa (black cottonwood) is the source of this 141-nucleotide non-coding RNA. The record is from Rfam. Lineage: Eukaryota; Viridiplantae; Streptophyta; Magnoliopsida; Malpighiales; Salicaceae.